RNAcentral lists this ribosomal RNA (301 nucleotides) under uncultured bacterium. RNAcentral describes it as "partial 16S ribosomal RNA". It matches the Rfam family "Bacterial small subunit ribosomal RNA", at positions 509 to 807 of the family's 1533-position model. The record is from RNAcentral.
CAGUCGCCGCGGUAAUACGUAGGGUGCAAGCGUUAAUCGGAAUUACUGGGCGUAAAGCGUGCGCAGGCGGUUAUAUAAGACAGAUGUGAAAUCCCCGGGCUCAACCUGGGAACUGCAUUUGUGACUGUAUAGCUAGAGUACGGCAGAGGGGGAUGGAAUUCCGCGUGUAGCAGUGAAAUGCGUAGAUAUGCGGAGGAACACCGAUGGCGAAGGCAAUCCCCUGGGCCUGUACUGACGCUCAUGCACGAAAGCGUGGGGAGAAAACAGGAUUAGAUACCCCGGUAGUCCCUGUCUCUUAUAC